UAUGGCCACAUCACAUUGAAACACAGGUUCCUGUAUGAUCACCAAAGUUAAAGCAACAUUAAGCUUGGUCAGUACCUAGAUGAGUGACCACUUGGGAAGAUCAAGUGAUGUA
Acanthosepion pharaonis is the source of this 112-nucleotide non-coding RNA. Lineage: Eukaryota; Metazoa; Mollusca; Cephalopoda; Sepiida; Sepiidae. The record is from the annotation of a GenBank genome assembly.